This 309-nucleotide ribosomal RNA is filed under the name Triticum aestivum (bread wheat). RNAcentral describes it as "partial small subunit ribosomal RNA". Lineage: Eukaryota; Viridiplantae; Streptophyta; Magnoliopsida; Poales; Poaceae. The record is from RNAcentral.
AUGCUCCUUGAAGUCUUCACCGGAAAGAGGCCGACCGAUGCUAUGUUUGUUGGAGAACUGAGCCUUAGACGAUGGGUUCACCAGUUAUUUCAGGCGAAUCAGCUUGUCCAUGCCGUGGAUAGACGGCUACUGCAAUGCUCCGACACGGACAUUGGUUUUCUUGCGCCAAUACUAGAGAUUGGUUUGCUCUGCUCCAAUGACUCGCCACGCGAUAGGAUAACGAUGAGCGAUGUAGUCUUGAGGCUGAACAAGAUCGAAGCAGAGUACGCUAAAAAUACAACAUCUACUUCAGGAAGUGUGUCACAGUGA